GCGUGAGUGAAGAAGGCCUUAGGGUUGUAAAGCUCUUUCAGCGGGGAAGAUGAUGACGGUACCCGCAGAAGAAGCCCCGGCUAACUCCGUGCCAGCAGCCGCGGUAAUACGGAGGGGGCUAGCGUUGCUCGGAAUUACUGGGCGUAAAGGGCGCGUAGGCGGGCCAGCCAGUCAGGCGUGAAAGCCCCGAGCUCAACUCGGGAACUGCGCUUGAAACUGCUGGUCUGGAGUUCGGGAGAGGGUAGUGGAAUUCCCAGUGUAGAGGUGAAAUUCGU
RNAcentral lists this ribosomal RNA (275 nucleotides) under uncultured bacterium. RNAcentral's name for it is "partial 16S ribosomal RNA". It matches the Rfam family "Bacterial small subunit ribosomal RNA", at positions 399 to 691 of the family's 1533-position model. The record is from RNAcentral.